CUAAGUACCCCGAGGAAAAGAAAUCAACCGAGAUUCCCCCAGUAGCGGCGAGCGAACGGGGAGGAGCCCAGAGCCUGAAUCAGCAUGUGUGUUAGUGGAAGCGUCUGGAAAGGCGCGCGAUACAGGGUGACAGCCCCGUACACAAAAGCGCAUGUGCUGUGAGCUCGAUGAGUAGGGCGGGACACGUGGUAUCCUGUCUGAAUAUGGGGGGACCAUCCUCCAAGGCUAAAUACUCCUGACUGACCGAUAGUGAACCAGUACCGUGAGGGAAAGGCGAAAAGAACCCCGGCGAGGGGAGUGAAAAAGAACCUGAAACCGUGUACGUACAAGCAGUGGGAGC
RNAcentral lists this ribosomal RNA (340 nucleotides) under Salmonella enterica subsp. enterica serovar Anatum. RNAcentral describes it as "partial 23S ribosomal RNA". It matches the Rfam family "Bacterial large subunit ribosomal RNA", at positions 202 to 580 of the family's 2925-position model. The record is from RNAcentral. Lineage: Bacteria; Pseudomonadati; Pseudomonadota; Gammaproteobacteria; Enterobacterales; Enterobacteriaceae.